GAUGAACGCUGGCGGCGUGCCUAAUACAUGCAAGCCGAGCGAACGGACGAGAAGCUUGCUUCUCUGAUGUUAGCGGCGGACGGGUGAGUAACACGUGGAUAACCUACCUAUAAGACUGGGAUAACUUCGGGAAACCGGAGCUAAUACCGGAUAAUAUUUUGAACCGCAUGGUUCAAAAGUGAAAGACGGUCUUGCUGUCACUUAUAGAUGGAUCCGCGCUGCAUUAGCUAGUUGGUAAGGUAACGGCUUACCAAGGCAACGAUGCAUAGCCGACCUGAGAGGGUGAUCGGCCACACUAGAACUGAGACACGGUCCAGACUCCUACGGGAGGCAGCAGUAGGGAAUCUUCCGCAACGGGCGAAAGCCUGACGGAGCAACGCCGCGUGAGUGAUGAAGGUCUUCGGAUCGUAAAACUCUGUUAUUAGGGAAGAACAUAUGUGUAAGUAACUGUGCACAUCUUGACGGUACCUAAUCAGAAAGCCACGGCUAACUACGUG
RNAcentral lists this ribosomal RNA (497 nucleotides) under uncultured bacterium. RNAcentral's name for it is "partial 16S ribosomal RNA". It matches the Rfam family "Bacterial small subunit ribosomal RNA", at positions 28 to 507 of the family's 1533-position model. The record is from RNAcentral.